GUAAUACUCCCUCCGUCCAAAAAAACUUGUCAUCAAAAUGGACAAAAAGGAGUGUAUCUAGAACUAAAAUACAUCUAGAUACAUCCCCUUUUAUUCAUUUUGAUGGCAAGUAUUUCCGAACGGAGGGAGUAAUAA
Molecule: non-coding RNA, 135 nt
Organism: Triticum aestivum (bread wheat)
Lineage: Eukaryota; Viridiplantae; Streptophyta; Magnoliopsida; Poales; Poaceae
Source: Rfam